This 464-nucleotide ribosomal RNA is filed under the name uncultured bacterium. RNAcentral's name for it is "partial 16S ribosomal RNA". It matches the Rfam family "Bacterial small subunit ribosomal RNA", at positions 331 to 794 of the family's 1533-position model. The record is from RNAcentral.
CCAGACUCCUACGGGAGGCAGCAGCGGGGAAUAUUGCACAAUGGGGGGAACCCUGAUGCAGCGACGCCGCGUGAGUGAAGAAGUAUUUCGGUAUGUAAAGCUCUAUCAGCAGGGAAGAAAAACCGACCAUAGGGUCGCUAGACGGUACCUGAUUAAGAAGCCCCGGCUAACUACGUGCCAGCAGCCGCGGUAAUACGUAGGGGGCAAGCGUUAUCCGGAUUUACUGGGGGUAAAGGGGGCGCAGACGGCGAUGCAAGCCAGGAGUGAAAGCCCGGGGCCCAACCCCGGGACUGCUCUUGGAACUGCGUGGCUGGAGUGCAGGAGGGGCAGGCGGAAUUCCUGGUGUAGCGGUGAAAUGCGUAGAUAUCACGAAGAACCCCGAUUGCGAAGGCAGCAUACCGGCUCCACACUGACGCUGAGGCACGAAAGCGUGGGUAUCGAACAGGAUUAGAUACCCGAGUAUA